This 842-nucleotide long non-coding RNA is filed under the name Homo sapiens (human). Its description in RNAcentral is "HSALNT0351881". The record is from RNAcentral. Lineage: Eukaryota; Metazoa; Chordata; Mammalia; Primates; Hominidae.
UGAAGAUGUGUGGUUAGGGUUGGGAGUAGACAUUGGGAUGCUCUCUAAACCCGUUGUGAAGCUGUUAAAUUGCAAGAAACCAUCUUCCUCUCCACCCUCCAUUCCCACCCUAUUCCCACAGGGUGAACAGGAAGCGCCCACUCAGAGCCCUUAUUCCAAAGGUGGAAAAACCUCUUCCCUUUGCUGCUUUUGGGGACUCAUCAGUCUCUGGAACAAUUAAACCUCUUUCAAUGCAGUUAUAUUCCCUCAUGUAAUAAGUACUGCAUUAUUUUUAGACUGUUUUACCCAAUUAAUUUUAUUAUCAGUUAAUUAUGUAUUACCACCUUAAGAAAAUGAAUAUUUGCCCAGUUGCUUAAGCUAAAUCAUUAAAUAUGUAUGAAUUCCUUUCUUUAAAUGUACACCUGUUAUCUUUUACAGAUGCAGAAGACGUGUUUGGAGCCAUCUGUGCCUCUGAAACAGACCCCCAUACAAAAGUGCUGUCUUGGCCCUACGAGACAGCUCAUGUGGGGCUGGGAGGCACCUGGGAAGUGAGGCCCACAAACAUGUCAGAGAUCUCGGCCUCAGCACCAGAGUGACAUCAUUUGAGAAAGACUGUUCUAGUCCAACCCUGCAGUUUUAUAGAUGGAGAAACUGAAGCCCAGAGACGGAAAGUGAUACUGAAAGUGAUUUCAACAGCUGGACUCAGAGUUGGUCUGAGACUCCUGGUCUGACACCUUUGAAUUCGGUCAGCUUCUCAGUUCGGCUUGGCUGAGGGUACACUGUGUGCCAGAGAAGCAUAAGGGCCGCUGCCACCAUUAAGUAGAGAAAAGAAUGCGGAACAGCAGGGCAUGGUGGCUCACACC